AGAUGGCAAGAAAGAAAUUUAGUGGAUUGGAAAUCUCUCUGAUUGUCCUCUUUGUCAUAGUUACUAUAAUAGCUAUUGCCUUAAUUGUUGUUUUAGCAACUAAAACACCUGCUGUUGAUGAAAUUAGUGAUUCUACUUCAACUCCAGCUACUACUCGUGUGACUACAAAUCCUGAUUCAGGAAAAUGUCCAAAUGUGUUAAAUGAUCCUGUCAAUGUGAGAAUAAACUGCAUUCCAGAACAAUUCCCAACAGAGGUCUGCAGCAAAAGUCUUUAAUAUUUUUAAUGACUAUAUACAUUAUUAUAUUAAGAUAAUUGCUGAAUAUUGGAUUGAUCUUAUUUAAUAAAGGUCUAGACAUAAA
This 360-nucleotide small RNA is filed under the name Pan troglodytes (chimpanzee). RNAcentral describes it as "retained intron". Lineage: Eukaryota; Metazoa; Chordata; Mammalia; Primates; Hominidae. The record is from RNAcentral.